Molecule: long non-coding RNA, 800 nt
Filed under: Phasianus colchicus (ring-necked pheasant)
Lineage: Eukaryota; Metazoa; Chordata; Aves; Galliformes; Phasianidae
Description: lncRNA (ENSPCLG00000005718.1)
Source: RNAcentral
UCAUUGUAUAGCCCCUAUCCUGCAUGAAAUGUUAGAGGACAUUGCAAAUAUAAAAAUCUUGGAACAUUAAGAACACGUUACAUAUAUUUGAUAGGUAGUAACACUGAAGAGUUCCUUGGAUUGCCCAAUGUCACAAAACCGUAAGAGAGCUGAGAACUGAAGUUCUGCAUUUAGAUCUCCCAGGAGAAAGCAAAGAGCAGUGAUCUGGUCUAUGGAAGCCUCUGGCACAAUGGGAAAUGCCUGACUGAUUGGUGGAUCUUUGGGAACGCAAAGGAUGUGUGACUUUAGAGACAGCUCCAGACAAAAUGCCUGCCAAGGAGUGUCAACAAAGAAGAGAAGAUAGGAAGGCAGCCGUUCAGGGCUGAGCAGAAGCCAAAUGCUGGAAUAUCGUAUUUCACCUGCAUACUUUGGAGAUACUGUGCACUAAAGAGUUCUUCAAAGGAAUGGACAGUAUUGAUUGGUAGAUGUUUUAAUGCCAUUCUCCAAAUGCUGUGCCCUGUUAACAAUCGUUUCAGCUAAUGUGUAAUAGGAUUGCUGUGCUGAGCUUGGGCUGACACCAGUGAAACUGUGAAGCUAUGGAGCAUGAGAAGGUGUAUGAACAUUGGCACUACCUUUGAGGAAUUGAGGCCUGCCUUUUUUUGGUCUGGUUCUCAUAGGAUAGUUUACAAGAAGCAGCACAGCAAAUAAGAACUUCCAGAAUUAUUUUGUUUUGUGGGAUUCAUUGUGGAAGAUGUCGGAUCUCGUUCACAAUUUAUUACAAAAACUUGUCUCCAUUCAAUGAAGAGCUGUUUGUUCCAUAU